Capra hircus (goat) is the source of this 1462-nucleotide long non-coding RNA. RefSeq lists it as uncharacterized. The transcript is spliced from 3 exons. The record is from RefSeq and is a predicted model, not a curated record. NCBI's taxonomy places the organism in Eukaryota, Metazoa, Chordata, Mammalia, Artiodactyla, Bovidae.
GGCCCGGACUCCGGGUUUUGAUUGGUGGGUCCAGGUGCUCGUCACUGCCCCCUAGCGCGGCGAGCCUGGAACCCUCGCUAGCAAGUACGUUAACACUGUCAAGAUCACUGUGAAGAAUGGGACCUGAACUCUUCCUUUUUCCAGACACCACCCAUCUCCUUCCUUUUACAGCUGUGGUUUGUUUUUGAAGGUGACGCCAAGCUGGACCCUGUGGGGCUCCCGGCAUCAGGGCUUGACGAGUGACCCUCGACCAAGCCAGUCAGGGCAUCCAGUCCUCCUGGCCAGGAGUGUGAACCCUGGGUCCUGAAGCGUGAACCCUGAGACACUUGUAAACGGCAGGAAAGAAAAGCUCGCUGUGUCUUCAGCUGGACUUGGUGCUCGGAGGAAAGCCUGAAGCUAGCCGGUCCCUGUAUCACCAUCAGGGAAAAGCCCGGCUGGGAAAUGAGUGGGGCCGAGAGGGAGAGAGGUGGUCCAGAGAGCCCCCGUGGAGCCCCAAAUUCACUGCAUUACUUGACUUUCCUGGUCCUCAGCCAGUAAAUUCCUUUCUUGCAUGACCAAUUUGAAUUUUGAGUCAUUUUUUCAACUUAGGUAAUAUCAGAAAAGAGGUUUCAACAUGAAGAAGGGAAAACAAGUGUUGGCAAGAAUGUGGAGACAUUAGAAACUUCAUAUGUUGCUGAUAGGAACAUGAAAUGGUGUGGCUACUUUAGAAAACAGCCUGGCAGUUCCUCAAAGUCUCCAGCAGGAGAGUCAGCGUGACCCAGCGGUUCCUCUCCUAGGCAUGCAGAGAGCAUGCUCACAGCAAGGCCUGGACAGAAAUGUGCAUGCAGCACUAUCUACAGCAGCCAAAAUCAGAAACCUGGGUCCCUUCCUGACUGACGGAUAAGCCAAGUGUGGUGAGUGACUCUGGUGGAACACUCGCCACACCAAUCAGUGAAGGAGUGCCAUAUGUCACAACGCGGAUGAGCCUUGAAAACACUAUGCUGAGUGACAGAGUGAGCGAGCGAAGUCGCUCAGUCGUGUCCAGCUCUUUGCAACCCCGUGGACUGUAGCCUGCCAGGUCCCUCCAUCCAUGGGAUUUUCCCGACAAGCAUACUGGAGUGCGUUGCCAUUUCCUUCUCCAGGGGAUCUUCCCGACCAGAUACAGAAGGACACAUAGCCCACUUACACUGAAUGUCCAGAACAGGCAAAUCCAUUGAGACAGAAAAGAGAUUAGUGGCUGUAAAGGGCUGGGGCAGGGACAGGAAUGGGAAGCGACUGCUGAUAGCCACAGGUUUCUCUGGGGGGUGAUAAAGAUGUUCUGGAAUUAGUGGUGAUGAUUGCGUAACCUUGUGAAUAUAUUAAAAAGUACCGAAUUAUACUUCACGAGGGUGCAUUUCACGGUACGUGAAUUAUGUUGCCGUUAAGUCACUUCAGUCAUGUCCGACUCUUUGGGACUCCACAGACUAGUCCGCCAGGCUCCUCU